This 465-nucleotide ribosomal RNA is filed under the name Vreelandella stevensii. Its description in RNAcentral is "partial 16S ribosomal RNA". It matches the Rfam family "Bacterial small subunit ribosomal RNA", at positions 338 to 795 of the family's 1533-position model. Lineage: Bacteria; Pseudomonadati; Pseudomonadota; Gammaproteobacteria; Oceanospirillales; Halomonadaceae. The record is from RNAcentral.
CCUACGGGGGGCUGCAGUGGGGAAUAUUGGACAAUGGGCGAAAGCCUGAUCCAGCCAUGCCGCGUGUGUGAAGAAGGCCUUCGGGUUGUAAAGCACUUUCAGUGGGGAAGAAAGCCUUGGGGCUAAUACCCUCGAGGAAGGACAUCACCCACAGAAGAAGCACGGGCUAACUCCGUGCCAGCAGCCGCGGUAAUACGGAGGGUGCGAGCGUUAAUCGGAAUUAAUGGGCGUAAAGCGCGCGUAGGCGGUCUGAUAAGCCGGUUGUGAAAGCCCCGGGCUCAACCUGGGAACGGCAUCCGGAACUGUCAGGCUAGAGUGCAGGAGAGGAAGGUAGAAUUCCCGGUGUAGCGGUGAAAUGCGUAGAGAUCGGGAGGAAUACCAGUGGCGAAGGCGGCCUUCUGGACUGACACUGACGCUGAGGUGCGAAAGCGUGGGUAGCAAACAGGAUUAGAUACCCCAGUAGUC